Molecule: ribosomal RNA, 440 nt
Filed under: uncultured bacterium
Lineage: Bacteria
Description: partial 16S ribosomal RNA
Rfam family: Bacterial small subunit ribosomal RNA
Source: RNAcentral
CCUACGGGGGACAGCAGUAGGGAAUAUUGCUCAAUGGGGGAAACCCUGAAGCAGCAACGCCGCGUGGAGGAUGAAGGUUUUAGGAUUGGAAACUCCUUUUGUUAGAGAAGAUUAUGACGGUAUCUAACGAAUAAGCAACGGCUAACACCGUGCAGGCAGCCGUGGUAAUACGGAGGGUGCAAGCGUUACUCGGAAUAACUGGGCGUAAAGAGGGCGUAGGCGGGGUAAUAAGUCAGAUGUGAAAGCCUGUAGCUUAACCACAGAACUGCAUUUGAAACGGUUACUCUGGAGUGUGGGAGAGGUAGGUGGAAUUCUUGGUGUAGGGGUAAAAUCCGUAGAUAUCAAGAGGAAUUCUCAUUGCGAAGGCGGCCUGCUGGAACAUUACUGACGCUGAUGCACGAAAGCGUGGGGAUCAAACAGGAUUAGAUACCCCUGUAGUC